AUACGUAGGGGGCGAGCGUUGUCCGGAAUGAUUGGGCGUAAAGGGCGCGUAGGCGGCCCGGUAAGUCUGGAGUGAAAGUCCUGUUUUUAAGGUGGGAAUUGCUUUGGAUACUGCCGCGCUUGAGUGCAGGAGAGGUUAUCGGAAUUCCCGGUGUAGCGGUGAAAUGCGUAGAGAUCGGGAGGAACACCAGUGGCGAAGGCGGGUAACUGGACUGCAACUGACGCUGAGGCGCGAAAGUGUGGGGAGCAAACAGGAUUAGAUACCCUGGUAGUCCACACUGUAAACGAUGAAUGCUAGGUGUAGGGGGUAUCGACCCCUUCUGUGCCGCAGUCAACACAAUAAGCAUUCCGCCUGGGGAGUACGGCCGCAAGGUUGAAACUCAAAUGAAUUGACGGGG
RNAcentral lists this ribosomal RNA (397 nucleotides) under uncultured bacterium. Its description in RNAcentral is "partial 16S ribosomal RNA". It matches the Rfam family "Bacterial small subunit ribosomal RNA", at positions 523 to 918 of the family's 1533-position model. The record is from RNAcentral.